This 454-nucleotide ribosomal RNA is filed under the name uncultured organism. RNAcentral describes it as "partial 16S ribosomal RNA". It matches the Rfam family "Bacterial small subunit ribosomal RNA", at positions 330 to 800 of the family's 1533-position model. The record is from RNAcentral.
CGUACACUCCUGCGGGAGGCAGCAGUGGGGAAUAUUGGACAAUGGGCGCAAGCCUGAUCCAGCCAUGCCGCGUGAGUGAUGAAGGCCCUAGGGUUGUAAAUCUCUUUCACCGGAGAAGAUAAUGACGGUAUCCGGAGAAGAAGCCCCGGCUAACUUCGUGCCAGCAGCCGCGGUAAUACGAAGGGGGCUAGCGUUGUUCGGAAUUACUGGGCGUAAAGCGCACGUAGGCGGAUCGAUCAGUCAGGGGUGAAAUCCCAGGGCUCAACCCUGGAACUGCCUUUGAUACUGUCGAUCUGGAGUAUGGAAGAGGUGAGUGGAAUUCCGAGUGUAGAGGUGAAAUUCGUAGAUAUUCGGAGGAACACCAGUGGCGAAGGCGGCUCACUGGUCCAUUACUGACGCUGAGGUGCGAAAGCGUGGGGAGCAAACAGGAUUAGAAACCCCAGUAGUCCCAUGA